Non-coding RNA from Pelobates cultripes (western spadefoot toad), 119 nucleotides. The record is from the annotation of a GenBank genome assembly. NCBI's taxonomy places the organism in Eukaryota, Metazoa, Chordata, Amphibia, Anura, Pelobatidae.
AGUGGCAGAGUGAGGGAAGGAAGGGGUGACUAGUGACAGAGUGAGGGAGGUGGUGACUGUCACUAGUCACCACCUCCCUCACUCUGUCACUAGUCACCACCUCCCUCACUCUGUCACUA